Molecule: non-coding RNA, 727 nt
Organism: Ictidomys tridecemlineatus (thirteen-lined ground squirrel)
Lineage: Eukaryota; Metazoa; Chordata; Mammalia; Rodentia; Sciuridae
Source: RefSeq, a predicted model, not a curated record
CAAAGAUCAAAAGAAAUGGGAGAAAAGAUGAGAUAAGCUAGUUGUUCAGCUGCACAGGGGAGGAGCCUGUCUGGGAAAUGGCAGAUGCUCAACAUAUGCCUGAGAGGAGCAUAGUCUUGGGAGAGGCCCCCUGGCAGGGACUCAGGCAAGACCUUUCAGAAGAGGACACUCGCAGAUGUUCAGUCACGACCGUCCUUCUCAGACCUCUUCGUGCGUAACACAGAAGGAGCAAGAACUCUGGAGUCCACUGGAGCCACUGGCUGUCUCCACCUUGUCAGCGCACUUGCUGUGUGAUGUUGGGCCUGCAAUGUCCCCGAGCCUCUUUGAGCAUCUGCUUUUGGUUGUGAAGGAGAGAUCAUGAGUGCCUCCUACCCAGGGCAUCAGACAGUGGUGAUGAAACCCACCCUGAGGAAAAGCUAAGUCCAUGUUCUAACAUCGCCGUGUUAUUAAAGAAACUCUGAACCAAGAGGGAAUAGCCACUUUGCUACUUAGUGAGAUCAAAAUUUACAAAUGUUAAGCGCUGAAGCCUACAGAUGUCUAGGCCCAAUUAGAUACUCAUACGAUCUGACCUCUGAAGCAUGCUUCUACAAAGUUGGGUAAUGCCCAAGUAAUUACACUUUAUUUGUGUCAACCAGAUUCACCAGAGAUUGCAGCUGCAAUGAGGACAUAAUCUUGCACAAAAAAAUCAAAGCCACACCAUCACCUUGUGUUGUCAAAAAAAAAAAAA